RNAcentral lists this ribosomal RNA (407 nucleotides) under uncultured bacterium. Its description in RNAcentral is "partial 16S ribosomal RNA". It matches the Rfam family "Bacterial small subunit ribosomal RNA", at positions 28 to 526 of the family's 1533-position model. The record is from RNAcentral.
GACGAACGCUGGCGGCGUGCUUAACACAUGCAAGUCGAACGGAGUGGCGAACGGGUGAGUAACACGUGGGUGAUCUGCCUUGCACUUCGGGAUAAGCUUGUGAAACUGGGUCUAAUACCGGAUAGUGCAAGAUGAGCUCGCGGCCUAUCAGCUUGUUGGUGGGGUAAUGGCCUACCAAGGCGUCGACGGGUAGCCGGCCGGAGAGGGUGUACGGCCACAUUGGGACUGGGAUACGGCCCAGGCGCAUACGGGAGGAAGCAGUGGGGAAUAGUGCAAAAUGGGCGGAAGCCUGAUGCAGCGACGCCGCGUGGUGGAUGAAGGCCUUCGGGUUGUAAACUCCUUUCGACAGGGACGCGGUACCUGUAUAAGAAGCACCGGCUAACUACGGGCCAGCAGCCGCGUAAUUC